This 2777-nucleotide long non-coding RNA is filed under the name Triticum aestivum (bread wheat). RNAcentral's name for it is "long non-coding RNA (TAES_LNC007982)". Lineage: Eukaryota; Viridiplantae; Streptophyta; Magnoliopsida; Poales; Poaceae. The record is from RNAcentral.
AGCUUCAUACGUGUCAAAUUUCAAAUGUAUAAUUCAAAUUUGAAUUCAUAAAUACAACAAUUUAGAUCAUUCCAAUUCAAGAAAUAAUAUACGUGUCUUUGGAUAUCAAUCAUCACAUAUAUACAUCAAAUGCCAAAACAUCAUCUAGCUAGCUACAGUUUGCCACAACUAUCCAAUCCUUUGUUUCUAUGUUGCUACAAAACAAAAACAAACUGAGACAUUUUCUUCAUCCAAUCAUCACCAAACACUUGUCAGUUUCUGAAAACAUGUAGAAAAAGUUAGAAACCAUAAUACAUUGGCAAGACUUGCACUUAAUCAUAACGUAUUAAACAAAGGUUGAUCAAUUAAUCCCUAAUCUCUAACAGCUUGAAACCUACUACCUCUGUUCCUAAAUAUAAGUCUUUUCAGAUAUUUCACUACAGACUAGAUACAGAGUAAAAUGAGUGAAUCUACACUCUAAAACAUGUCUAUAUACAUCCGUAUGUAGUCCGUAGUGGAAUCUGUAAAAAGAUUUAGAUUUAAGAAUGGAGAGAGUAUGUCAUAUACGACAAUGGAACUUUGGCGCAAGAUCAGAGAUCCAUGACCAACAAAACAAAAUUGGUCUCCGCCAUUACUGGUUUAACAUGGACAAGUAUGUAUUCGUCCACAAAGACAACUGAGAUACAGUAGCAUAGAGGGAAAAAUGACCAAGUACACGUGCAUGGUGCACCUAGAUAUGAACAAUGGAAUAUGCAAUCAAAAUAGCGAAAGGUGCAGGGAAGCCAGUAGGUGCAACAAAGGGAUAUACAUUCAUGAUGACAAUAAGUGAACUAAUUUUCAAGUAAUAUCCAACCAAACUACAAAGAUAAAUAACAAGGACUGAUAUUGGAAGGAAAACAUAAGCAGCUCAAGUAGUAACAGGUAUGGACAUAUAUCCAUAUAUGAGUACACACAAAAUAUCAUCUACAAAGAUGUAAAUAGCCACACAAACUAUAAAUGAUAAUAGAUCAUGUUAGAAACAACCUAUUCCUGUCAAUCUGUACUUAAAUGACAUGAACACAAUGGAGCAUUUGUUCUUGUAAGAACUGAAGUUUGAUCGCUGGCUCUCUAUUUAGCUGCAAACAAACAAAAAAAUAGUUUCAGGAUGCACCACACAUCACAUAAGCGUGCAUACACAACAACAUGAACAUCACAACAAAUAUACCAUCACCAAUUAUAUCAUUUGAGAUAGUUUCAAGAUACAUACAUGAAGAUAGCUAGGAUUUGCUGGAUGCUGAGCACACAUAGCUGGGUUUCUUGGCUAUUUCCUAGAAUCUGCAAAAGAAGAGCUAGGUUCAAAAAAUUGUUUUUCUCAUGUUUUAAAUGUAUUCAAACUAGUGUUUUUCUGUUUCAGAUGGAUGAUUGCAUACAUGGAUACCAGAUUGUUUUGGAUACCGAGGGGGAUAGUGAACAAGCAGUCGAUGCAGAAUUAUACUCAAGUCAACGAGGAGCUUACCUGCAACGGCAAGGCAAAUGACAAUUGAUUGAUUACUUCUCACACAAGACAGAAGUAAUAAAUAUGUGUCAGCAAUGGAACAUGUCACAUCUUGCUUUGGUUAUAGCAUGUGUAAAACCCUAUGAAAUUCUAAUAGUUUUGGAGAGUAAUAGGAGAAACACAAUAUUUAAGACAAGUGCAUGGGCAUGCGCAUCAGUAUAUAAAAUUGAAAAAUAUGGAUAUCUCCACUAAAAUCCAAAGUUACAGGUUAGAUUUGGAUUAUUAUAUACUUUCUAAGAAUUGGUUUAGAUGCUAAGGAUACCAAUUCCCACAAAUAUCUACUAAAUUUCUACAUUCUAAAUGUGUGAACCUAGUGGGAUAAUAUAAUAUCUUAGCUUGCAGAGGAUCCGAUGCUACUAUCGGAUUUAGCAAAAAUAAAGAUGAUGAAGAGCAGCUUUCAAGUAUUUAGUCUAUAGACCGUAGAACCCUCUGACUGAGCUAAUUAAGCUAAAGGAAAUAAACCAUAGAUAAGAAUACAGAAACAAUUAUGAAGAUAACUGCGCGUAUAUACUAAAUAGCUUCAUCUACAAGAAGCUCGCAGUGCAAGACAAAUACAAAAUUAUCCUUUAACCAGUAACAUUUUCUACUAGCACAGUGACCAACUUAGAUUACAAAAAUACAACUGAACUUUGCAUUAUCUAAUAAGGUAUUAAUAUAUAAUGGAUCUUUUUUUCCAUUCAAAAAUAAAAGGAGCGCUACUACCUGAAGGUUCUAAAAUUGUACUUGCAGAUGUUCUGGGAUCCUAACCUUACUUUCGUAUCCCUUGGAAUGUAUACAGUUCUAAAGAAAAUCACUCAUAUGUCCAAGGUUUGGAAACCAGAAAGUAUUCUUCAGUUAUAACUAUCCCCAAGAAAACAGUGUCAUCAUUAUAUUUAGGAAGUCGACAUGAUGGCAUUAAAUAGAAGAUACUCUACAAACAAACAGAAGUCAUGGGAAUUUUACAACCUUGCACUUAAUGUCCUGAGCUCUACAUGAAAGAAGCGACUACAAAAGGCUAUAAAAUUCUGAAUUUGUAGAGCCAGGGAGCUCUCAAACAGUUCACAGCUAGUAUGUAGCUUAAAACUUCAAAUGAACAUCCCGUGUGUUUGCACUACUUCUAAUUAGUUCCUAUAAAUCCACACUAUCAUCCGAAUCCAACUAUCUAGUUGAACGCCUCAUUUGGCAAAAUAACUAACUCACGCUCAAGGCAAGGCAAUGCACACACCAAUUCUCCGCAAUGGCAACAGCGAUUUGUGCAGAAGUGUAACAUUGUACUGAAUCUGAG